This is a small nucleolar RNA of Kluyveromyces lactis, 130 nucleotides long. The record is from RefSeq and is a predicted model, not a curated record. NCBI's taxonomy places the organism in Eukaryota, Fungi, Ascomycota, Saccharomycetes, Saccharomycetales, Saccharomycetaceae.
UCAAAUGAUGAAUAACUAUGCGUGAACAAUCUCUGAUUGAUACAAAUAACGCUUGUAUCAAAGGAUUAAAAAACAUGUUGCCUUCCUUCUGAAUUGACUUAUAAGUAAAAACCUCUAUUUUAUUCUUUUU